UGCCUGUAAUUCCAGCUCUGGUGAGUCUGA
RNAcentral lists this non-coding RNA (30 nucleotides) under Rattus norvegicus (Norway rat). Lineage: Eukaryota; Metazoa; Chordata; Mammalia; Rodentia; Muridae. The record is from RNAcentral.